AUGAACGCUGGCGGCGUGCCUAAUCCAUGCAAGUCGCGCGAACAGACGAGGAGCUUGCUCCUCUGACGUUAGCGGCGGACGGGUGAGUAACACGUGGAUAACCUACCUAUAAGACUGGGAUAACUUCGGGAAACCGGAGCUAAUACCGGAUAAUAUAUUGAACCGCAUGGUUCAAUAGUGAAAGACGGUUUUGCUGUCACUUAUAGAUGGAUCCGCGCCGCAUUAGCUAGUUGGUAAGGUAACGGCUUACCAAGGCAACGAUGCGUAGCCGACCUGAGAGGGUGAUCGGCCACACUGGAACUGAGACACGGUCCAGACUCCUACGGGAGGCAGCAGUAGGGAAUCUUCCGCAAUGGGCGAAAGCCUGACGGAGCAACGCCGCGUGAGUGAUGAAGGUCUUCGGACCGUAAAACUCUGUUAUUAGGGAAGAACAAAUGUGUAAGUAACUAUGCACGUCUUGACGGUACCUAAUCAGAAAGCCACGGCUAACUACGUG
This 496-nucleotide ribosomal RNA is filed under the name uncultured bacterium. Its description in RNAcentral is "partial 16S ribosomal RNA". It matches the Rfam family "Bacterial small subunit ribosomal RNA", at positions 29 to 507 of the family's 1533-position model. The record is from RNAcentral.